This 72-nucleotide transfer RNA is filed under the name Thecamonas trahens. RNAcentral describes it as "tRNA-Phe". It matches the Rfam family "tRNA". Rfam says of the family: Transfer RNA (tRNA) molecules are approximately 80 nucleotides in length. Their secondary structure includes four short double-helical elements and three loops (D, anti-codon, and T loops). Further hydrogen bonds mediate the characteristic L-shaped molecular structure. tRNAs have two regions of fundamental functional importance: the anti-codon, which is responsible for specific mRNA codon recognition, and the 3' end, to which the tRNAs corresponding amino acid is attached (by aminoacyl-tRNA synthetases). tRNAs cope with the degeneracy of the genetic code in two manners: having more than one tRNA (with a specific anti-codon) for a particular amino acid; and 'wobble' base-pairing, i.e. permitting non-standard base-pairing at the 3rd anti-codon position. RNAcentral also lists the same sequence under 1 other name. The record is from RNAcentral. Lineage: Eukaryota; Apusomonadida; Apusomonadidae.
GUCCAGGUAGCUCAGGGGUAGAGCAAUUGGCUGAAAAUCAAUGUGUCAGUGGUUCAAAUCCACUUCUGGACA